RNAcentral lists this ribosomal RNA (781 nucleotides) under uncultured bacterium. RNAcentral describes it as "bacterial SSU rRNA". It matches the Rfam family "Bacterial small subunit ribosomal RNA", at positions 60 to 829 of the family's 1533-position model. The record is from RNAcentral.
AGUCGAGCGGUAGCACAAGGGAGCUUGCUCCCUGGGUGACGAGCGGCGGACGGGUGAGUAAUGUCUGGGAAACUGCCUGAUGGAGGGGGAUAACUACUGGAAACGGUAGCUAAUACCGCAUAACGUCGCAAGACAAAGAGGGGGACCUUCGGGCCUCUUGCCAUCUGAUGUGCCCAGAUGGGAUUAGCUAGUAGGUGGGGUAAUGGCUCACCUAGGCGACGAUCCCUAGCUGGUCUGAGAGGAUGACCAGCCACACUGGAACUGAGACACGGUCCAGACUCCUACGGGAGGCAGCAGUGGGGAAUAUUGCACAAUGGGCGCAAGCCUGAUGCAGCCAUGCCGCGUGUGUGAAGAAGGCCUUCGGGUUGUAAAGCACUUUCAGCGAGGAGGAAGGUGGUGAGCUUAAUACGUUCAUCAAUUGACGUUACUCGCAGAAGAAGCACCGGCUAACUCCGUGCCAGCAGCCGCGGUAAUACGGAGGGUGCAAGCGUUAAUCGGAAUUACUGGGCGUAAAGCGCACGCAGGCGGUUUGUUAAGUCAGAUGUGAAAUCCCCGGGCUCAACCUGGGAACUGCAUUUGAAACUGGCAAGCUAGAGUCUCGUAGAGAGGGGGUAGAAUUCCAGGGUGUAGCGGUGAAAUGCGUAAAGAUCUGGAGGAAUACCGGUGGCGAAGGCCGGCCCCUCUGGACUAAGACUGACGCUCAGUGCGAAAGCGUGGGGAGCAACAUGAUAAGAUACCCCUGGUCAUCCACGCUGUAACGAUGUCGAUUUGGCAGGUUGUG